UACAGAGGUCCCAAGCGUUGUUCGGAUUCACUGGGCGUAAAGGGUGCGUAGGCGGUCAGGUAAGUCUGCUGUGAAAUCCCGCAGCUCAACUGCGGAACUGCAUUGGAUACUAUCUGACUAGAGGAAUGGAGGGGAGACUGGAAUACUUGGUGUAGCAGUGAAAUGCGUAGAUAUCAAGUGGAACACCAGUGGCGAAGGCGAGUCUCUGGACAUUUUCCUGACGCUGAGGCACGAAAGCCAGGGGAGCAAACGGG
RNAcentral lists this ribosomal RNA (254 nucleotides) under uncultured bacterium. RNAcentral describes it as "partial 16S ribosomal RNA". It matches the Rfam family "Bacterial small subunit ribosomal RNA", at positions 524 to 776 of the family's 1533-position model. The record is from RNAcentral.